This 496-nucleotide ribosomal RNA is filed under the name uncultured bacterium. Its description in RNAcentral is "partial 16S ribosomal RNA". It matches the Rfam family "Bacterial small subunit ribosomal RNA", at positions 28 to 506 of the family's 1533-position model. The record is from RNAcentral.
GAUGAACGCUGGCGGCGUGCCUAAUACAUGCAAGUCGAGCGAGCAGACGAGGAGCUUGCUCCUCUGACGUUAGCGGCGGACGGGUGAGUAACACGUGGAUAACCUACCUAUAAGACUGGGAUAACUUCGGGAAACCGGAGCUAAUACCGGAUAAUAUAUUGAACCGCAUGGUUCAAUAGUGAAAGACGGUUUUGCUGUCACUUAUAGAUGGAUCCGCGCCGCAUUAGCUAGUUGGUAAGGUAACGGCUUACCAAGGCAACGAUGCGUAGCCGACCUGAGAGGGUGAUCGGCCCACCUGGAACUGGGACACGGCCCAAACCCCUAGGGGGGGCAGAAGUGGGGAAUCUUCCGCAAUGGGCGAAAGCUUGACGGAGCAACGCCGGGUGGGUGAUGAAGGGCUUCGGAUCGUAAAACUUUGUUUUGGGGGAAGAACAAAUGUGUAAGUAACUAUGCACGUCUUGACGGUACCUAAUCAGAAAGCCCCGGCUAACUACGU